Molecule: transfer RNA, 93 nt
Filed under: Chloroflexota bacterium
Lineage: Bacteria; Bacillati; Chloroflexota
Also listed under: 1 other name
Description: Chloroflexi bacterium (groundwater metagenome) tRNA-Ser
Rfam family: tRNA
About the family: Transfer RNA (tRNA) molecules are approximately 80 nucleotides in length. Their secondary structure includes four short double-helical elements and three loops (D, anti-codon, and T loops).
Source: RNAcentral
GGAGGGAUCGCAUAGUGGUCUAGUGCGGGCGCCUGCUAAGCGCUUACCCUGGGUUUACUGGGGUCAUGGGUUCGAAUCCCAUUCCCUCCGCCA